RNAcentral lists this ribosomal RNA (191 nucleotides) under uncultured bacterium. RNAcentral's name for it is "partial 16S ribosomal RNA". It matches the Rfam family "Bacterial small subunit ribosomal RNA", at positions 1300 to 1500 of the family's 1533-position model. The record is from RNAcentral.
GUAGGCUGCAACUCGCCUACAUGAAGUCGGAGUUGCUAGUAAUCGCGGAUCAGAAUGCCGCGGUGAAUGCGUUCCCGGGUCUUGUACACACCGCCCGUCACACCAUGGAAGUUGGGGGCGCCCGAAGUUGCCUAAGAAAUAAGGUACCUAAGGCGAAACCAAUGACUGGGGUGAAGUCGUAACAAGGUAGC